AAUUCAAUUCCCCCAUUUCCCCACCAGGCCAUCCUCUUCCCUCACGUCUUUAGAAAUGGAGAAGAAAGGCGUACUAAUGUCAUACCCAAUGUCCUCCUACUUAGAACACGAACUCAGUUCCCGCUUCACCCUCUUCAAAAUCUGGGAACACCCCUUUUCAGACCCUCAAUUCCUCAAACAAAACUCCAAUUCAAUCCACGCACUUGUGAGCAAUGCAGCGCACGGUGCAAACGCUGAAUUGAUCGAUUCCUUCACCGAAUUAGAGAUAAUCGCAAGUUACAGUGUUGGGGUUGAUAAAAUUGAUCUGGGAAAAUGCAAGGAGAGAAAAAUUAAGGUUACAAACACCCCUGAUGUUCUCACUGAUGAUGUUGCUGAUUUGGCUGUUGGGUUGAUUUUGGGUACCCUAAGAAGGGUUUGUGUUGCUGAUGCUUUUGUUAGAACUGGGGGUUGGGUCAAUUCUGAGUUUCCUUUGUCUACUAAGUUCACUGGUAAAUCAGUAGGAAUUCUUGGAUUGGGAAGGAUUGGUUAUGCUAUUGCAAAGAGAGUGGAAGCAUUUGGAUGCCAUGUUAGUUACUGCUCCAGAUCUGAGAAACCUAAUAUCCAGUACAAAUAUUAUGACAAGGUCAUCGACUUGGCGGCUAACUGUGAAAUCCUUGUUGUUUCAUGUUCCCUUACUGAAGAAACCCGUCAUAUUAUUAACCGUGAGGUGAUUAAUGCACUGGGUUCAAAGAGUAUUCUCAUAAACAUUGGAAGAGGUGCUCAUAUCGUUGAAUCUGAGCUCGUAUCUGCUCUUCUCGAAGGUAGAUUAGGUGGUGCAGGGCUUGAUGUUUUUGAGAAUGAGCCACACGUUCCUGAAGAACUGUUGAAGCUUGAUAAUGUGGUGAUGAUGUCUCAUGUAGGAAGUGAUACUGUCGAAACUUGCAAGGCUAUGGCUGAUCUGGUGAUCAGAAAUUUAGAGGCACACUUCUUGAAGAAGCCAUUGUUGACUCCAGUUAUAUAACAUCUUCUGAAGCCAUGGUUUCCUUUUCUCCCAAAACAUCCUGCUCUCCCGAGAUCAUGUGCAGCUGUGCAGUUCAGGACUUCAUCAGGGGGUCCUUCAACGCCUUGUUGCCAAAUAUUAAAGAUGGCCGUGGGCCGGGCCCACUCCAGGUCCACUCUCUAUCGGGUCGGUUCGGGCUGAAAAGUUCAAAAUAGGCCCAUAGCCACGGGCUGUCGUGCCGGGUUGGACCGUCGUGUCUAGGCUUAAUUUUUACUAAAUUUAACGUGCUUGUCGUGCUUUUCCCAAAAAUACGACACAGCCCACAAUUUCGUGCUUGUGGCGGGCCGUGCUUUUUUUUGUGCCUGUGCCGGGCUGGAUUUUUUCGUGUCGGGUCGGGCCUCGAGCUGGCUGGCCGGCCCACUGCCAUCUUUACUAGUUAUUGCUUGUGCUUAAUCCCCUAUUACCAACAUACAUUGGCUUAAUCAGUCUCUUUCUAUGCUCCCCCUUUGGUACUCUGGUCGUGAUUCUAAUCUUUUCUGAUACAAACUAUUACUCUGUAUCAUACACUUCUUUGAUCAGUUUGGUAAUGGUUUUAUUUUACGAGUAUUUACACAAAAGUACAAAACAUGUCUCCCUUUACCUUUUUUUUAGGGAAAAGGUGAGCGGGCAUUAUAUUAAAUCAAAUUGAGUUCCGCCAAAGUUUGGAGGCUUUGGGGUAACGAGUUCAUACAAAUACGUUCCGAAUAUUUACCUACAAUCUCUAUCAAUAUUUUCAAGUGUAGUUUGAUUUUUGUUUACUUAUUGGUGUAAUGAUGGAGUUGAAUUGACUUGUUUAUUUAGAUUAGGCUCGAUAUAUAUUUCAGAAAUAUCAUUUUUUUAUAAGUUUACUAUAAGAUUAAAUUGGAUAUAAUAAUGGUCAAAGUCUUGAUCAAACCAGAGUUCAAGUACUUCGUACUUUGUAGUAUAAUAACAUCUU
This is an RNA transcript of Spinacia oleracea (spinach), 1955 nucleotides long. It is a transcript of the gene named glyoxylate/hydroxypyruvate/pyruvate reductase 2KGR, with no coding region annotated. Lineage: Eukaryota; Viridiplantae; Streptophyta; Magnoliopsida; Caryophyllales; Amaranthaceae. The transcript is spliced from 3 exons. The record is from RefSeq and is a predicted model, not a curated record.